Molecule: ribosomal RNA, 553 nt
Filed under: uncultured Gammaproteobacteria bacterium
Lineage: Bacteria; Pseudomonadati; Pseudomonadota; Gammaproteobacteria
Description: bacterial SSU rRNA
Rfam family: Bacterial small subunit ribosomal RNA
Source: RNAcentral
UCCUACGGGAGGCAGCAGUGGGGAAUAUUGGUCAAUGGGGAAAGCCUGAUCCAGCAAUGCCGCGUGUGUGAAGAAGGCCUUCGGGUUGUAAAGCACUUUAGGUCGGAAAGAAAAAGCUUGGGUUAAUACCUCAAGCCUUGUCGGUACCGGCAGAAUAAGCACCGGCUUAGUCUGUGUCAGCAGCCGCGGUAAUACAGAGGGUGCAAGCGUUAAUCGGAUUUACUGGGCGUAAAGCGUGCGUAGGUGGUUACGAAAGAUCGGGUGUGAAAGCCCUGGGCUCAACCUGGGAAUGCCGUUCGAUAAUUCGUGACUUGAGUUCGGUAGAGGGCGGCGGAACUCCAGGUUGUAGCGAGUGAACAUGUGAUAAGAUAUUUAUGGAACGAAGCAACCGAUCGGCCGAAAGGCAACACGCCUGGGCCUGAACUGACACUGAGCCAUGAAAGACGUGGGGAGCAAACAGGAUUAGAUACCCUGGUAGUCCACGCUGUAAACGAUGAGAACUUGAUGUCGGUUUGCCUAGCGAAUCGGUGUCGAGUAACGCGUUAGUCUCCGC